Molecule: long non-coding RNA, 893 nt
Organism: Pocillopora damicornis (cauliflower coral)
Lineage: Eukaryota; Metazoa; Cnidaria; Anthozoa; Scleractinia; Pocilloporidae
Source: RefSeq, a predicted model, not a curated record
AUUUUGGAAGAAAUAAAUCGCCUAUGCGCCUGUAGCCCAUAAAAGGAAACGAAAAAACGCCCCUAGAAAAUAUAUUGAAGCGAACCGGGCAGAUACCGAAAAUGAAAAUUGCAACAUCAUAGUAUGAUGUAAUGCAAGCUUGGGAGUCACUGAAGUCAAAACAAAUUAAUACAAAAGAUUUUGUAUUGUCACAAAGAAACAAGAAGCCAAAGCUGACAAUAUCUUCUACAUUCUUUGAAUAGUUCCUGAGAGUCAGCAGAUUCACUGAAUCGAAUAGUAGAGACAAUCUCUCUCUACAUUCAUCGGCGCGAAGUGGAUCGACAGACCUGUUCUCGAAGGCAGCGAUGAGAUCUUCCGGUAAAUGUUCGGCUGGUUCCCACGUAUUUUCACUAGGGGAGUAAUUCUGCUAAUGGAUGAAAUAUUCUAUAUUUCUUCCUUUAACUCGUUUUGCAACAACACGUUCUACUUCGGAAACGCCCAUGACAGUUGGCUUUACCUUCGGACGAUAUUUUGAAUUAGAGGCACGAUCGCAAACAUUAUUCAGUAACGUUGCGUAAAAGCCUGGUUGAUGUCUCGCACGCUUCGACAUGUUAACUCGAAGGAAAAAGAAAGACUAACUCCUGGAGUAAAAGUGUGCGUUUCAAGUAAAAACAAAUGACUUAUGCAUCGCACUGCUAAGUUCACGUAAAACAAUUCACUUAGUCAUGGGUAAAUCGCUGAUUGAGCACCGCUAUUCUACUCCCUUGCCGCAGCCUUUCAAACUCGAAAAGAAUGGCAGGUUCUAAACAACCGGGUCGACAUGAAACAAUUUCAAUAAUUCAGAUGAAGUUUUGACCAACGGGAGUUUGUUAAUCGUCUAUUGAGUCAAAUAAAAAUAUAGUCGAAUCUGCAAA